GCAAUUUUGUGAUUUGGUGGUUUGAUUUUUGAUGAUUUGUUUUAACGGCUGUUUGGCUUCCAGGAAAAUAAGAGAGCUUAUGUAAAACACGAGAAUUGUGAAGUCUCAGUUGUGCCUUAAUGGAACUAAUUGCGUUAUUUUAUUUUGUACAUAAUUUUCUACAACAAAAGAUAAGUUGAAUUUAUUAGUUAUAAAAAAAAUGGUUUCGGUCAAUUUCUUUUGGGGAGGGGAAGGGAGUUAGCUUUUAUACAUCUGUUGCAAUUUAUCUUAUUAUUUUAAUUUAUCUGUUUUCUGGGGCCUAGAAUUUUAUGCCAACACUCAACUUUGUUUAAUUUUGGUAGUUCUCCUAGUUUAGAUUUUCAAGUUUGUAGGAACUACUGUACAUGAAUGAGAUUUUUUACUUCACCAUUUUUUGAAGUAAUUUCAUAAAUGUAAUCAAACAGAAAAUUAGUGGAAAAGUUAUUUUUUU
This 469-nucleotide unclassified non-coding RNA is filed under the name Hevea brasiliensis (rubber tree). The record is from RNAcentral. Lineage: Eukaryota; Viridiplantae; Streptophyta; Magnoliopsida; Malpighiales; Euphorbiaceae.